ACGCUCGACACCUACGGGAGCAGCAGUGGGGGAUAUUGCACAAUGGAGGAAACUCUGAUGCAGCGACGCCGCGUGAGGGAAGAAAGUUUUCGGAUUGUAAACCUCUGUCUUCGGUGACGAAAAUGACGGUAGCCGAGGAGGAAGCCACGGCUAACUACGUGCUAGCAGCCGGACGGUAAUCUGAGGCGGGCGUGGACGAAGGC
RNAcentral lists this ribosomal RNA (203 nucleotides) under uncultured bacterium. Its description in RNAcentral is "partial 16S ribosomal RNA". It matches the Rfam family "Bacterial small subunit ribosomal RNA", at positions 328 to 538 of the family's 1533-position model. The record is from RNAcentral.